This 813-nucleotide ribosomal RNA is filed under the name uncultured Acidobacteriota bacterium. Its description in RNAcentral is "bacterial SSU rRNA". It matches the Rfam family "Bacterial small subunit ribosomal RNA", at positions 72 to 866 of the family's 1533-position model. Lineage: Bacteria; Pseudomonadati; Acidobacteriota. The record is from RNAcentral.
UUAUCCAGCAAUGGAUGACUGAGUGGCGAACGGGUGAGUAACACGUGGGUGACCUACCUUCGAGUGGGGGAUAACGUCCCGAAAGGGACGCUAAUACCGCAUAACAUCCUGCCUUUGAACAGGCGGUGAUCAAAGCCGGGGACCGUAAGGCCCGGCGCUUGAUGAGGGGCUCGCGUCUGAUUAGCUAGUUGGUGAGGUAACGGCCCACCAAGGCGACGAUCAGUAUCCGGCCUGAGAGGGCGGACGGACACACUGGGACUGAGACACGGCCCAGACUCCUACGGGAGGCAGCAGUGGGGAAUUGUUCACAAUGGGCGCAAGCCUGAUGACGCAACGCCGCGUGGAGGAUGAAGGUCUUCGGAUUGUAAACUCCUGUUGCCCGGGACGAAAAGCUUCGACCUAACACGUCGAGGUCUGACGGUACCGGGUGAGGAAGCCCCGGCUAACUCUGUGCCAGCAGCCGCGGUAAUACAGAGGGGGCAAGCGUUGUUCGGAAUUACUGGGCGUAAAGGGCGCGUAGGCGGCCUUCUAAGUCGAACGUGAAAUCCCUGGGCUCAACCCAGGAACUGCGUCCGAUACUGGAAGGCUUGAAUCCGGGAGAGGGAUGCGGAAUUCCAGGUGUAGCGGUGAAAUGCGUAGAUAUCUGGAGGAACACCGGUGGCGAAGGCGGCACCCUGGACCGGUAUUGACGCUGAGGCGCGAAAGCCAGGGGAGCAAACGGGAUUAGAUACCCCGGUAGUCCUGGCCCUAAACGAUGAAUGCUUGGUGUGGCGGGUAUCGAUCCCUGCCGUGCCGAAGCUAACGCAUUAAGCA